AACUGACCCCCAAAUAAGCAGUCAAAUUUAUCCCCUUAAGUCCUCUGGAUAUGCCCACAGCAGUGAGGCUACUGGCACUUUACAUCUACGGUGUGAUGCACAGAUUUCAAAAUACUUUCAGAGAAAUUCUUUUGAUCCUGACAUAUCCCUGACUGGUAAGACAUGCCAGAAUGUGUUAUUCCCAUUUUACAGUUAAAACAAAACAAAACACCUGAAGCCCAGAACGAUUAAGUGACUUGUGUACUAAUUAUAUUGAUAGGAAGGUGUUCUGACUGGAAGUCAGAAAUUUUAAACCAGUAGCUCUGAUGAACCAGAAAAAGCAAGAUUAUGUUGAAGUCAAAAGUUGUACCGCCACCCCCACUCCUUGAUCCCACUGGCUUGACACAACACAACAAAUGCUGCUCCUGCUUCAUUUCCAACUUGAAGUUCAUGGGAGAAGAGUGGGGAGGCUCUACUCCACCUGGUUACUCGGGGACUCAGGCUGUCAGAGGCACCACUGUCUUAUGACAAUGCCAUCUCAUUAUAUGACCUGAGGGUUUGCUGCAGCAAGAGAAGAGAAGGUAGAGAACUCACAGCCAUUCUUUCUCUGCUAAGUAGCCCAGUGGCCGGACUAGUUGCAUGACCCCAAAUUAACUACAUGGGAGCCUGGAAAAUCCUCCUAUAUGCUCAGAAAGGAAGGUGAGCCCCAGAAAUCUCUAUUGCAGGUUUUUAGGUGCAAUAUAGGGGGCCCAUGUGGAACUAAAGAUGCUUUAUGAUAAAUAUUGUAAACCUCUCAUUUGUUUAAGAAGUAUAGAAAGAGAUAAAACAAAUGUAAACAGCACAUGAUGUGUGAGGUAGUUGCCAAAAAGAAAUAAUUUGUGAUCACAAUAGGUCAUGUUAAACUCUCCCUUUCUGAGUGUUUGUUUUAAACUUCAGAUUUAUUGACAUAUAGUUGCAAAUACAAUUAUAAGGUAUUUAAAGUGUACGUCAUGUAAUACGAUAUAUACGUUAUAAAAGGAUCUCCCCCACCCCGUCUAGCUAAUUAACACCAUCACAUCUUUAUUUUUAUUUUUAUUUUUUUGGUUAGAAUACUUCCCCUUUUAGACCGGAUUUUUUGAAAAUUAGAAUGUUCUCCAAAAGCUGAACAGAAAACUUAUGUUUUAAGGCCACUGAUUCUCUCCCUCCUCUGCCCUGUUUUAUAGAAAAACCUUUAGAUUAAAAACAAAACCAACAAAACAAAACUCUUCAAGGUAUCCUUUAGUAAAUAUCAAGGUUCACUCCUAAGAUAUUUUAGGAAACGCAUUGUGUCAUUUAUAAAAAGUUUUAUUAACCACUUGGGUUAUUUCCCAGGAAAUAAGCAUCUCUAUGGUUUGCCCUCUCUCUGGAUCUCUGAGGUACUGGAAAAGUGAGUCAGGGACAUGAACCAGUUUGACUGUGAGUUCCACAGAGGCUUGGCUGUGGAUGGCCUUUUAGUGUAAAAGAUUUGAGAAUUUUUUGGCGAUAAGGCUGGCACCCAGGGGCUGGACAGAAAGUGAAAUGGUUCAGAGCCAGCUGGACUGCCUGAGACACUUCUCGCGUGACGUGUGUCUCUCGCAUCCGUGUGUGUUUUCCACGUGGUGAUCCACCCCAGCACCAGUUGCUGCCUGGAUAUCCUUGUGUUUGAAUUGCCCUUGCCUCCACGCCGAGGACUCACCUAAGAGACUUGCCUGGGGCUCCCGCCCGGCUCUGUGCCUUCUGGCAGCAGCUUAUGGGCAGAGGGUCAGCCCGCCAUGAGCUCCCUGCUAAACCCCUAUCGGCACAGCAGAAAUGCUUGGAAAGGCUUUGCACAGAGACUUGUUUUUCAGCCCUACCCUUCUCUUUUAAAAUGCAGUAUUUCUUUUCGGUGAUACACCUUUAUUUCUCAUAGUUCUGAAGGCUGAGAAGUCCAAGAUCCAAGUGCUAGAUGAGUUGUGUCUGGUGAGAACCUUCUUCCUGGUUUCUUCCUGGUUUCCACAGCCUCCUUGCUGUGUCCUCACAGGGUGAAGUGUUUCUUGGAUAAAGUGAACUUCACAGCAUAAAAUAGCCAUCCGGAGCACACACGCCCGUAGUCAUUUUCAUGAUAAUUGGCACUUUUGUAUGAAACCUCAUGUAUAGGAAGUUCAGGUAUCAUCUUAGUCUCAGCAGGUGCUUUUGAGUUUCAUAGGUCACACAUUCCAUCCUCUCUAUUCCAGGGAUAUAAAACGUGGAAGUGGAGCGACUUACCCGAGGUGGCAGGCAGGACACGUGGACAGAUGCGAGUGGGCCGUGUCUGCGACCUACACCACAGAUCACGACAACAUCGGAUUGUUAACCCACUGAGCAAGGGCAGGGAUCGAACCUGCAACCUCAUGGUUCCUAGUCGGAUUCAUUAACCACUGCGCCACGAUGGGAACUCCAAGUGUGUCCUUUUUUAAAAACCCAAAUGGUGUCCAUACCAUGUUUAACGUCUAUGUCACUCUGUCUAGUUAAAUUCACACUUUUCCUCUGAUAUCACAUUGAUUUUGUAUCGUAGUUUUUGUGACAGAGAAUGCUGUGGUCCUCAGUGACUUACCAGUAAAAAUUCACUUCUCUUUUACAAGUCCAGCAUGGGCAUUUAGUGGACAAGCAACCAGCUCCUUCCAUCUAGAAGUUGUUCCAUGGAUUUUUGGAACCUUUUGCUUCUAGCUGAUGAAGAAAAGAGACGAUCUUAGGGAGUCUUGCUGGAGCUUUUUAUGUGUCACCCCUGGAAAGGGCAUACAUCAUUUCUGCCCACAUUCUUUUGGCAGCACUAAGUCAAAUAUCCCCCUCUGUCUGCAAGGAGAGCUGGGAAAUGUAGUUCUUUACUGCAAAUCCAGUCACUAGUAUCCAGUCCACACAGGCGAAGGGGGGCACACCACUUUGCUGGAGAGAGAACAAUCUCUCCAUAGUUCUCACCCCCAGUGUACCUAGUUUUCUUAGAAUUCCUGUGAGUGUGAUUUUUUUCCCUCUCGGCAUAUGAGUAUACAGUAGGGGGGGUGGUAGGGAUUUUCAGACCACAGAUGUAACCUAUGAGAGUUUGAGAACCAGUGCUUUAUUUAGGAGGCCAAGAUCAAGUUCAGCUUUUCCACCUAUUCGUAUAUGAGCCCAGGUCCCAGAACUGCCCCAUGGUGUCUGUCUGAGAACAGGGAGACCCACUGGCUCCCCAGACACUCCAUGUGACCUCCUCGCACUAAAUGAUUCCCUCUAUCAUCUAACCCAGUUAGAGCCAAGAAGAGAGGGAUUCCAGAAUCCCCAAAUCCCAGUCUGCCUGUAAAACACGAUAGUGAUAUUCUAAUAGUCCUUUUCAAGCUUUAAUUUAAUGGUCCCUCCCCCUGCCCCCAUGCUAGACUUGCUACGCAGCAAUUUCCUGGCACCCUUUUAGCUUACAAAACUUUCUCUGCUACUAGAGGGAAAAAAUGAACAAAAGCAAAUCAGCAAUCUAAAGAACUUUGCUAAGUGAAAUGCUGGUGAGGGAGAAGUUCCUGAAGUUGCUGGGAAAGGAGCAGCCUGACCCAGCCUCCCUCCUGGCAGGGGUCGGAGGAUGGCCCCCUCCCCCUCCGUGCCGCCUGAGUCUGUCCCCAGCAUAGAAGCCCUGGGAUGAAGCUGUGGAGGAAGGAAAACGCAGAAGGAGGUGAGCUGUGUCCCUUCCCUGCCCUCAGUCUGGGCCUCUCUGAGCCCGCGGCCUUGCGGGUGGACCUGGGACAGGCAGUAGAGGAUUGAGGCCCCGAGUCCCCCCAGGCAUUUCACCGGGGCUCUCUCUUCUCUGCUGGUUUGCGUGGCCUCUGUGGUCACUGUUCUCCGUGUCAGCACAUUCAAAAUUGCUGACUGUAAACACUGAAGGCGGCGUGCCUGCUACUGAAGAAGCCACAAGGAAAACAGCUUUGGGCAAUCUUGGAUGUUCUCCGUGUGACAGAGUCCUCGCCCCCAGCGCUGGUGCUUUACCCAGCAUGGGGUUCUGUGGUUUGGGCGGGAUGGACAGAAAGACAGAAGGGGCAGGGGGAAGGCGCUUGGCCUUUUGAGAUCUUUUCUUAAGGAAAUAAAUAUUGGUUUUCUAGGAGCCUAGAUAGAAGAGGAGUUCCGGCAGUCAGAAUGAGAGGCUUGCCAGCAAGCAGAUGAGAGGCUAGCAACCAAACCCACGUGCAGAUAGAAGUUGGGGGCCCUUAGAGGAAUAAGGGACUAUGCCAGGGUUUUGGAAGGAAGUGGUUACCAAAAUACCAGAGUAAACCAAAUCGCCUCUUCAAGUCCCUUGGCCUGGAGUAGCCCAGAAAGCCGAGAUGGUGGGUGGUGCCCUUCCCACAGCGGGGGACUUGGCUAGGCUCUGAGCUGCUGUGCAACAGUGGGUCUCUGGGGCCUGUCGGGGGGACGUCCGCAGACCAGGGUGUGUGUCUUUGUAGCCUUUCAAAUCACAGCCAUUCACAGAGGGCGUGUGGAUUAGAAUCUUCCAUGGUCAAACCAAGGAGAGUGGGUUACCCAGCUUCAGCAAGUUUGCUAGUCUCUGUGCUAACACUUAAAGCAGCCAGCUUCGUCUUUCCUUCUGAGAAAUCAGGAAGGAAGCUCUAGUAGAACAAUUUGUGGCUCUGUAUUGAGAGCCUCCUUUGUAAACAUGAUAUAGCCUGGGUUCUGGGGUGGAUGAGUCCGUUCUGCGGAGAAAAAGAAAGCAGAGAACGUGUGUAUGUGUGUGUCAUAUGUAUAUACAAAGAUACAUAUACCUAUAUAGCCAAUAGGACAUAUAUACCAAUGUAUACCAACAGGUGAUGUAUCUUAUAUAUGUGUGUAUGUAUGUAUCAUAUAUAUCACACAUAUCCUAUAUAUCUCCAUAUAUAUCCUAUAUGUCCACAUAUGUGUAUGUAUGUGUAUAUGUAUAUACGCAUACACACACAUACACAGAGGGAGAGAGAUUUAUUUUAAAGAAUUGGCUUAUGUGAUUGUGGAGACUGGCAAGUCCAAAAUCUGUAGAGCAGGCCAAUAGGCUGGAGAUUCAGGUGGAGUGAUGCUGCAGUCUUGAGGCCCCAGUCUACAGACUAGAAACUCAGGCAGGGCUUCUAUGUUACAGUCUUAAGACAGAAUUGGUUCUUCAGAAAACCUCAAUCUUUGCUCAUAAGGCCUUCCAAUGCUUGGAUGAGGCCCACUCAUAUUAAGGAGGGCAGUAUGCUUUCCUCUAAGUCUACUGAUGUAAAUGUUAAUCACAUCUAAAAAUAUAACCUUUACAGCCACAUCAAGACUGGUAUUUAACCAAAGAACUGGGCACCAUAGCCAAGUCAAGUUGACACAUAAAAUUAGCCAUCGUAUGGGGGAUUUGUAUGUUGGAAGUGGAACGUUAUAUGCAGAUGCCCAUAUGUCAAAUAAUAGAAAUGAAGAGAGUAAAACAUAUUACAAGCUAGACUGUCCCAGUGACAUGCUUGCUGGUUUUCUUAUGGCAGAUUAUACCUGGUGUAAUCUCUGAUCUAAUGGGCAUUCAUUGGAAAUAGUUCUUUUUACCUUGAUGUCAGAGGAAGAGCACCCGGGCCAGCACAGAGCACGGGAAGAGUGAGAGUUCAGGUCCUGAUACCGCCUCUGUCUUAUGAUAAGCGCCUGAGAGUAAUUCACUUCUGCCACCGCUUCUGUACUUUGAGAAGCGUGUUGAUGAGGCACAGAGGCCGCAUCGCCAGAGGGGAUGAGAGGAAGCAGCCCGGCUCAGAGCCCAGCCCCCACACUACUGGCAUGUCGUUUAACCUACCUGUGCCUCAGUUCCUCACGUGACCAGGGGGAUGAUCACUAGUGAUUUCUACCACAUGGGGCUCUCGGGACAAUACAGUUAAAUGCACUAACAUAUAUAAGUGUCUGCACAUAGUGCCACAUAAAUGUUUGCUAGUAUAAUGAUUACUUCCUGGGAACAUGAAGCUCUAAAGUCUGAAUAGAGGAUGGAGAUAGUUGAAGAAAAGUUUUUAGGCAGUUCCCGUUAUGUCUCAGUGGAAAUGAAUCCAAUUAGGAACCACGAGGUUGUGGGUUUGAUUCCUGGCCUCGCUCAAUGGGUUAAGGAUCUGGUGUUGCCGUGAGCUGUGGUAUAGGUCGAAGAUGCGGCUUGGAUUUGACAUUGCUGUGGCUGUGCUGUAGGCCAGCAGCUGUGGCUCCUAUUCAACCCCUAGCCUGGGAACCUCCGUGUGCCUUGAGUGCAGCCCUCG
This 6155-nucleotide long non-coding RNA is filed under the name Sus scrofa (pig). Its description in RNAcentral is "lncRNA (ENSSSCG00055018248.1)". Lineage: Eukaryota; Metazoa; Chordata; Mammalia; Artiodactyla; Suidae. The record is from RNAcentral.